GAUUUUAAAUAAAUAAAAUUAAAAAAAGCGGGCUAUUUCAGUGGAAUCAUAUAGCUUUUAAGUAAAACGAAAGCACUGUUACUAAGGUUUGGCAGUAUUGAAAGCCAUGGAAGGAACCACUAUCUAAUUAUUGAUGGUAAAAGCACGAUUUGGUGAGAAAAACAGUGAGUGUAAUUGAGAUCGGCUGGUAUACUAUCGGUAGCACAGAGGAUUCCGUGCUUCUAAGUUGUUUUCAAUGAUGCGGCUUCCAAAUACUAUCGGUAGCAUAGAGGAUUCUGUGCUUCUAAGUUGUUUUCAAUGAUGCGGCUUCCAAAUCGACAAUCGGUUCCGUUAGACUUGAUCUACACUAUUGAAAGUAUUUGAAAACUAAAUUUCAUAAAUUUUUGGCAUCAUUUACCUAUUAAACGAGUAGUCUAAAAAUGAACGGCUGAAAAUAAAAAUCUCCUAAAAAAUGAUGAUAAAAGCCUUGAAUUUAAGAUCAGAGGUAUUGAUUUUACUUUAAAUAGUGAAAUUUUUUUUAAAAAAAUUUCAUUAGAUUUGGAUUGUUUGACACGGUAAAAUUCACAAACGCAUCACAUCUACUAUUAAAAUUGUCGAUUUUGAGACCUUUUGAUCACUAGCCAAAUGAUGUCGAAGAAUUAUGAAAUUUAGUUUUCAAAUACUUUUAAUAGUGUAGAUCAAGUCUAACGGAGUCGAUUGUUAAUUUGGAAGCCGCAUCAUUAAAAACAACGGCCUCCGUGUUACCGAUAGUAUACCAGCCUAACUCUAUAUAUAGAGUCCGGCUACUAUACUAUCGAUAGUACCAAGCCCUUAGUACUAUUGAGUUUUCUACCAUUAGAUCUACCCUUUGAUCAUUUCCACUCGUUAGAUUAUACUAUUAAACCAACCAUCCACUCAACUCUAGGGGACCACUAUUAAUUUAGCCGGGGAUCACUGUCAUCCUUAUCGCACAUAUUUUCAUCCAACGGUCGAAAACUCAAUAGUACCAAGGGCUUGGUACUAUUGAUAGCAUAGUAGCAUAAUUCUCUCUCUCUCUCUCUCUCUCUCUCUCUCUCUCUCUCUAUAUAUAUAUAUAUAUAUAUAUAUAUAUAUAUAUAUAU
This 1100-nucleotide long non-coding RNA is filed under the name Ananas comosus (pineapple). RNAcentral describes it as "long non-coding RNA (ACOM_LNC007117)". Lineage: Eukaryota; Viridiplantae; Streptophyta; Magnoliopsida; Poales; Bromeliaceae. The record is from RNAcentral.